RNAcentral lists this ribosomal RNA (490 nucleotides) under uncultured bacterium. RNAcentral's name for it is "partial 16S ribosomal RNA". It matches the Rfam family "Bacterial small subunit ribosomal RNA", at positions 30 to 507 of the family's 1533-position model. The record is from RNAcentral.
AUUGAACGCUGGCGGCAGGCCUAACACAUGCAAGUCGAACGGUAACAGGGAUCAGCUUGCUGAUUCGCUGACGAGUGGCGGACGGGUGAGUAAUGUCUGGGAAACUGCCUGAUGGAGGGGGAUAACUACUGGAAACGGUAGCUAAUACCGCAUACCGUCGCAAGACCAAAGAGGGGGACCUUCGGGCCUCUUGCCAUCGGAUGUGCCCAGAUGGGAUUAGCUAGUAGGUGGGGUAACGGCUCACCUAGGCGACGAUCCCUAGCUGGUCUGAGAGGAUGACCAGCCACACUGGAACUGAGACACGGUCCAGACUCCUACGGGAGGCAGCAGUGGGGAAUAUUGCACAAUGGGCGCAAGCCUGAUGCAGCCAUGCCGCGUGUAUGAAGAAGGCCUUCGGGUUGUAAAGUACUUUCAGCGGGGAGGAAGAGAGUAAAGUUAAUACCUUUGCUCAUUGACGUUACCCGCAGAAGAAGCACCGGCUAACUCCGUG